CCACUCUCACGUACGUGGAUACUACAGUAUCCAAAACAAUAAUGGCGGCAUCCGUACAUGGAUACUACAGUAUCCAAAACGACAAGUUUAAGAAAAUUACAUCUAGUUAAAACUGAGGCUAGAGAUAAACGUUUUUAUCGACGUAGAAUGAUAGCUUAGGAAACAGUUCACCCAAUAAACUACAGAUGGCAAUGAAAUAUGAUUAGUUCUCUGUAAAAAAAAAAUCCAAACUCAAGUGACUCGUUCUUGUGAAUUUUGUGAACAAGUGUUUCGGAGUUUCAGCAAUUAUGUCGUUUAUCGUUAUGGACAGUGCGGUAUCCACGGACGUUAGAGCAAACGUCAUAAAUAAGGGUUUGUACAAACGAAAAAAUAUGUUUGCAAUUUUUUGUUACGCAUGGUGUAAUGUGUUUAUUUAUGUCUAUGAUUAUGAUAUUGGAAAAUAAUUGCACUUUUGAUGCACUUCAAUUUCCUUAGUGAAGUGCAUUAUAAUGCUAUUUUGCAUUAAUUUAAUUGACAUACGAACAUUCAUUUGCUAAUAACUUAUGCUAAUUCUAAUCAAUCCUAUACUGGUGGAUGUUAGUUUAGGUGCUGCAGUAGUGGCCGUGGCAGUCGUGGAGACCGUGGGGGACGUGGAAACAGUGGAGAAACGGUGGAUUAUCAUUUACAACUCGAAAUCUUAUCAAAAAUGUCUCAUUAAAAUUUACGACACUGUUA
Molecule: long non-coding RNA, 714 nt
Organism: Pieris napi
Lineage: Eukaryota; Metazoa; Arthropoda; Insecta; Lepidoptera; Pieridae
Exons: 2
Source: RefSeq, a predicted model, not a curated record